Molecule: ribosomal RNA, 406 nt
Filed under: uncultured bacterium
Lineage: Bacteria
Description: partial 16S ribosomal RNA
Rfam family: Bacterial small subunit ribosomal RNA
Source: RNAcentral
AUUGAACGCUGGCGGCAGGCCUAACACAUGCAAGUCGAACGAGUGGCGGACGGGUGAGUCAUGUCUGGGAAACUGCCUGAUGGAGGGGGAUAACUACUGGAAACGGUAGCUAAUACCGCAUACCAUCAGAUGUUCCCAGAGGGGAUUAGCUAGUUGGUGGGGUAACGGCUCACCAAGGCGAAGAUCCCUAGCUGGUCUGAGAGGAUGACCAGCCACACUGGAACUGAGACACGUGCCAGACUCCUACGGGAGGCAGCAGUGGGGAAUAUUGCACAAUGGGCGAAAGCCUGAUGGAGCCAUGCCGCGUGUAUGAAGAAGGCCUUCGGGUUGUAAAGUACUUUCAGCGGGGAGGCGUUACCCGCAGAAGAAGCACCGGCUAACUCCGUGCCAGCCGCCGCGGUAAUUC